RNAcentral lists this transfer RNA (64 nucleotides) under Eumenotes sp. HEM140. RNAcentral describes it as "tRNA-Pro". Lineage: Eukaryota; Metazoa; Arthropoda; Insecta; Hemiptera; Dinidoridae. The record is from RNAcentral. RNAcentral also lists the same sequence under 1 other name.
CAGUAAAUAGUUUAUUAUAAAAUAUUAAUUUUGGAGAUUAAAGACAGGCACUGCUUUUUACUGA